This is a long non-coding RNA of Melitaea cinxia (Glanville fritillary), 98 nucleotides long. RefSeq lists it as uncharacterized. Lineage: Eukaryota; Metazoa; Arthropoda; Insecta; Lepidoptera; Nymphalidae. The transcript has 3 exons. The record is from RefSeq and is a predicted model, not a curated record.
CUCCAACGAAAGUAUUUCAUGUUCCGCGCAACCAUCUUCAUAAUUCUCACAAAAUUUACGACAUCGAAAGUUUAAAUGUUUUUUUGAUACCAUGAUAA